GCCAGAUCGUCUGCUAACCUCAGUUAUUUCACAGCCUCAUGUUCCUGUGUAUUUAUCAGUGUGCAUUACUUAGUCUCCUAGUCGGUACCUGGACUCGUCAUUCCAAACCCUGCCAUAGCCUUGCUUCUGGAUUCAGCUGCUGCUUAAUCCUUUUCAGACAAACUGCCAUUCUCACCUGCCUGCCUCCCUGCACACCUAUAUUGGACUCAGCACUCGCCUGGACCUCACCUCGCCUCCACCUCCAGCUAAUCCCCGCCUGCAAACACUGCCCUCACCAGCCCCACUCCAGUCUCAGCAGUUUUUGUUUUCGCAAAUCACUUGGAGCUUCUGGUCUUUGGUUCUGCGCCUGAGUCCAUUCCACGCCACGGGCCUCUGAGCCCUGACAACGGUCUAAACAUCUGGAAAGUCCUGGAGGAAGAGAAUGGCUGGACUCAUCUGGAUUCUGCUUUCUGCGUGCCUCCUGGGUUGUACCUCUCAAGAAAAAACACUUUUUAACAGUUAAAUUUAAAGGAAAAUUCCCUGGAUUGUCAUUGAAACACAUUAUAUUGUCCCAAAUGCUGCUACCCAAGUCUUAACUGUACAGUCCAUGUCCAGUGAUCCUGAUGCUUUCUGUUGAAGUAAACAGCUGUUUGAAACCUUUACCUCUCUGCUCUGUAUAG
This is a long non-coding RNA of Astatotilapia calliptera (eastern happy), 659 nucleotides long. NCBI's taxonomy places the organism in Eukaryota, Metazoa, Chordata, Actinopteri, Cichliformes, Cichlidae. The record is from Ensembl.